Molecule: ribosomal RNA, 389 nt
Filed under: uncultured bacterium
Lineage: Bacteria
Description: bacterial SSU rRNA
Rfam family: Bacterial small subunit ribosomal RNA
Source: RNAcentral
ACGAACGCUGGCGGCGUGCUUAACACAUGCAAGUCGAGCGGUAAGGCCCUUUCGGGGGUACACGAGCGGCGAACGGGUGAGUAACACGUGGGUGACCUGCCCUCAGCUCUGGGAUAAGCCUGGGAAACCGGGUCUAAUACUGGAUAUGACUCCAUGACGCAUGUUGUGGGGUGGAAAGCCUUGUGCGGCUGAGGAUGGGCCCGCGGCCUAUCAGCUUGUUGGUGGGGUGAUGGCCUACCAAGGCGACGACGGGUAGCCGGCCUGAGAGGGCGACCGGCCACACUGGGACUGAGACACGGCCCAGACUCCUACGGGAGGCAGCAGUGGGGAAUCUUGCGCAAUGGGCGAAAGCCUGACGCAGCGACGCCGCGUGAGGGAUGACGGCCUGU